RNAcentral lists this long non-coding RNA (326 nucleotides) under Mytilus galloprovincialis (Mediterranean mussel). The record is from RNAcentral. Lineage: Eukaryota; Metazoa; Mollusca; Bivalvia; Mytilida; Mytilidae.
GUCCAGUAGACAUAUUUGAUAUUUUUACAAAUCUGUUAUGGCUUGUGGAGGAGGGCAGAUUCCAAUUUCCUGUAGUCUUUGUGAGGAAGAUUCUAGAAUUAAAUGGAAGUGUUUGAAUUGUGACAUGCUAUUGUGUGACAAGUGUAACAUGAAAAUUCAUGUAAUAUAUAAAUUUGCUAAGAACCAUAAAGUUAUAUCUAUUCAGGAUAUAGGGCUCCAUGACGAAGAAAUAGAUUUUACCAAUUUGAGUUGUAAAAAUCAUGUUAACCAGAUUUGCUUCAUGUUUUGCAAAACAUGCAGUGACUGCUUAGUAUGUCCACUAUGCA